This 1156-nucleotide ribosomal RNA is filed under the name Cacopsylla citrisuga. RNAcentral's name for it is "16S ribosomal RNA". Lineage: Eukaryota; Metazoa; Arthropoda; Insecta; Hemiptera; Psyllidae. The record is from RNAcentral.
UUUAUAGUUAAUUUAGUUUUAUUCAACAUUCCGUAAUACAAAUUAAUACAACUGGUCCUUUCGUACUAAAUCAUAAAUUACAUAGAAAGAUAGAAACCAACCUGGCUCACGCCGGUCUGAACUCAAAUCAUGUAAAAUCCACAGUCGAACAGACUAAAAAUUAAGCUUCUACACCAAAAUUUUAUUUUAAUUCAACAUCGAGGUCAUAAUCUUUUUUAUUAAUAAGAUCUUUUAAAAAAAAUUAUGCUGUUACCCCUAAGGUAAUUUUAUCUUUUUUUCUAAAAUUUUAGGAUCCUUUAACCAUUCAUCAAUGAAAAUUAUGUAAAAGUUUAUUUACUAUCACCCCAACAAAAAAAUAGAAAUUCCCAUACCUACUUUUAAAUUCUAUAGGGUCUUAUCGUCCCUCCCAAAAACCUAUGUAUUUUUACAUAAACUGUAAAUUAAAAUUUCAUAUAACUAAAAAAGUUAAUAUUCUGUUCAACCAUUCAUACAAGCCCCCAAUCAAAAGACUAAUGAUUAUGCUACCUUUGUACAGUCAAAAUACUGCAGCUAUUCACUAAAGCAUUGAGCAGGUUAAACUAAAAACAUUUUCCUCCCAGAAAUGUUUUUGUUAAACAGUCAAAAAUUCAUCUUGCCGAAUUCUUAAGCUAUAUUUUGUGAUUCUACUAAUUUAAUCAUUAUUAUCUUAAUAUUUUAACUUUAUCAAGUAACUUCACCUCCCUUUAAAGUUACUAUUAAAUUAUUAAAAAAAUUAAGUUAAUUUUUGAAUACUAAAAAAAUUGAUAAUUUUAAACUUAUAAAAUUAUUACCCCCAAUAAAACUAAAAUUUAAAUCUUAAGAUUAUCCCUAAGAAUACUUUUUAUUUUAACAAAAAAUCGCAUAAACAAAACUAAUUCAAUUAAUCAAAAAGUAACUAGAUAAAAAAAAUCUAGAUUUUUUUCAAAACUAAAUAAUUAUUAAACCCAAUAGUGAAACAUAAGAAUUUUAACUAUUUAAAUCUUUCCUUGUCGAGAACCCUCUCUUAAAUAAAAUUAUAAAUAAACCCUGAUACAAAAGGUACAAUAAAUGAAUUUUUUAUUAAUUUUUAUAAUAUAGCCUCCCUCUACAAAAUAAAAAUUAAUAUUCUUCACUUUUCCCUCUAUUAAACUAAAAAAAA